RNAcentral lists this long non-coding RNA (302 nucleotides) under Vigna radiata. RNAcentral describes it as "long non-coding RNA (VRAD_LNC005316)". The record is from RNAcentral. Lineage: Eukaryota; Viridiplantae; Streptophyta; Magnoliopsida; Fabales; Fabaceae.
UUUGGGGUUGUAUGGGGGAAAAAUUGAAAGGCAAGUGAAAAGCAUUGAGCUCAAAUGUUGUGAAAAGAAAAAUUCAUGAGAAAAAGAAAAGAAAAGAAGAAAAGCAUGAAGAUGAGCUCAAUGAAAAAGAAAAGGGAAGAAGUUGGAAAUAAGUGGGAUUGGUGAGAAAGAGAGUUGUGCUAAAGUGUUGAAUUCUAUGAAGGCUCUCAUAACUCAAGGAUUUUGUAUUCCGAAAAAACCAAUUUUUCUUGUUAGCCCAACCUCAUUACAAGCCUUGGAAAAGUCCUUUUGAUGGCAUUUGC